GUGGGGGAUAUUGCACAAUGGGGGAAACCCUGAUGCAGCGACGCCGCGUGUGGGAAGACGGUCCUCUGGAUUGUAAACCACUGUCCCCAGGGACGAAGAUGACGGUACCUGGGGAGGAAGCUCCGGCUAACUACGUGCCAGCAGCCGCGGUAAUACGUAGGGAGCGAGCGUUGUCCGGAAUUACUGGGUGUAAAGGGAGCGUAGGCGGGACUGCAAGUUGGGUGUCAAAUCUACCGGCUCAACCGGUAGCCGCACUCAAAACUGCAGUUCUUGAGUGAAGUAGAGGCAGGCGGAAUUCCUAGUGUAGCGGUGAAAUGCGUAGAUAUUAGGAGGAACACCAGUGGCGAAGGCGGCCUGCUGGGCUUUUACUGACGCUGAGGCUCGAAAGUGUGGGGAGCAAACAGG
RNAcentral lists this ribosomal RNA (405 nucleotides) under uncultured bacterium. RNAcentral's name for it is "bacterial SSU rRNA". It matches the Rfam family "Bacterial small subunit ribosomal RNA", at positions 354 to 776 of the family's 1533-position model. The record is from RNAcentral.